This is a long non-coding RNA of Myxocyprinus asiaticus (Chinese sucker), 4809 nucleotides long. RefSeq lists it as uncharacterized. The transcript has 6 exons. NCBI's taxonomy places the organism in Eukaryota, Metazoa, Chordata, Actinopteri, Cypriniformes, Catostomidae. The record is from RefSeq and is a predicted model, not a curated record.
GUUACAAUGAUUUGAAUUUUAAUAACAUUAGGAAGGAAAAGCAACACACUUUUAAAUGUAUUUACAACCUGAGGAGGCCUGGUUGUUGGAUUAUUUUCUUUUUAGGAACACAUAUUUUACCAUAUGCAACACAUCGUGUAUAUAUUUGAUGUGAACGCUGAUGCAGAAGCGGCAACAGAAGUGGUAGCCCUCAUGUAAAGCCCUCCUCGUGUGAAGACCUACUUGUGUAAAGACUACCUGUGCGAGUCCACCGAGCAAGGACACCGACAAGGCGCAACUCACCAUAGCACUUAAGUAUCUUUUAAUUUUAUCUCUCUUCUUAUUUUCCUUGGUCAUGCUAACAUGUCUACUUCACGAAUAACAUAUGCCUUCAGGCACAUCCCUGUUAUCUGUUACAGACACUUUACAUGAUAUAGAUGCAAGACAAAACGCAACCCACACAACCUAUGGCCACUUUGCACUUCAGCACCUGCUCCGCUCUCUUUCUCAGUGGGACUCUGGAACUGCCAGUCAGCUGUGAACAAAGCUGACUUCAUUCCAGCCUUUGCCACACAGUCCACCCUCAGCAUCCUGGCACUGACAGAAACAUGGAUAUGUCCAGAGGAUACAGCAACACCUGCUGCUCUCUCCAACAAUUUCUCCUUCUCUCACACCCCUCAACACACUGGUAGGGGUGGGGGAACAGGUCAGCUGACAAACUUUCUCGAGGAGUUAGAUGUCCUGCUGUCCUCCUUCCUGGAGGAUGGUAAGCCACUUGUGGUACACCAAGACAAGCCCCAGGCCACUGAACUCAGUGCUCUUCUGGCCUCAUUUGACUUGGAAAGACUAAGCACCACAGCAACCCACAGAUCAGGCAACCAGCUGGACCUCAUUUUUACACGCCAGCACGUACUACACCACCCAGCCCCUGGCUCUCUGACGUUCUUCAUUAACAUCGGCAGCUGAGAGGAGAUGGCGGAAAUCUAAAGAUUCAGCAGAUCUAGAACAAGCUUCUGGAUGACAAUCAGUCAGGCUUCAAAAGUGUACACUCCACCGAGACUGCCCUGCUCUCUGUCACUGAGUUGCUGAGACAGGCAAAAGCUGAAUCCAGAUCAUCCGUCCUGAUUCUGCUGGACCUUUCCGCAGCCUUCGACACAGUCAACCAUCAGAUCUUACUCUCCACCCUCUCUUCGCUGGGCAUCACAGGAACUGUGCUUGGCUGGUUUAAUUCCUAUCUCUCAGACCAACGACACCACAGUGACUGCACAAAUCUCUGCCAGCCUGGCAGACAUCUCGGCCUGGAUGAAGGAACACCACCUGCAACUUAACCCAGCCAAGAUCGAACUCCUUGUCUUUCCAGCCAACCCUGCUGUUCAACACGACAUCACCAUGCAGCUGGGUGCAACUACAGUAAUGCCUUCCAAAAUGGUCAGAAAUCUAGGUGUAACCAUCGAUAACAAACUCAAUUUCACAGACCACAUCUCAAAGACCGCAAGAUCAAGUAGAUUUACACUCUACAAUAUCAGGAAGAUAAGACUCUUCCUCUCUGAACAUGCCACACAACUUCUUAUUCAGUCACUUGUCAUAACUAGACUGGACUACUGUAACGCUCUCAUUGCAGGCCUCCCUGCAUGUGCAAUUAUACCCCUGCAAAUGAUCCAGAAUGCAGCAGCACGUCUGGUCUUUAAUCAACCAAAAAGAGCGCAUGUUACACCACUCCUUGUCUCUUUUCACUGGCUGCUGGUUGAUGCACAUAUCAAGUUCAAGGCUCUGAUGCUGGCAUACAGAACAGUCACUGGGUCUGCUCCAGCAUACCUAAAAUCAUUUCUGCAGAGCUACGUGCCCACUAGAAGCCUGCAGUUGGCUAAGGAACGUCGCCUUGUUGUACCAACACAAAGAGGCACCAAAACACUUUCCCGAACUUUCGGCUUCAUCAUACCACGUUGGUGCAAUGACCUUCCCAACUCCAUUCAUGAAGGUAACUCACUUUCUGUCUUCAAAAAAUGGCUAAAAACACAUCUUUUCCAUGAGCACUUAACCAGUCACAAAAAAAAAUAAAAAAUAAACUUUGUAAUAUGGCACUUUUCGUACCACUGUCUCCUUAAGAUGAUUCGUUUAUGUUUUCCUCUUUUGUAAGUCACUUUGGAUAAAAGCGUCUGCCAAAUGAAUAAAUGUAAAUGUAAAGUUAAAGCUCAGUCGCAAAUGGGUCUUCCAAAUGGACAAUGACCCCAAGCAUACCUCCAAAGUUGUGGCAAAAUGGCUUAAGGACAACAAAGUCAAGGUAUUGGAGUGGCCAUCACAAAGCCCUGACCUCAAUUCGAUAGAAAAUUUGUGGGCAAAACUGAAAGCAAGGGGGCCUACAAACCUGAUUUGGUUACACCAGUUCAGUCUGGAGGAAUGGGUCAAAAUUCCAGCAACUUAUUGUGAGAAGCUUGUGGAAGGCUACCCAAAACAUAUGACCCAAGCUAAACAAAUUAAAGGCAAUGCUACCAAAUACUAACAAAGUGUAUAUAAACUUCUGACCCACUGAUAUUCUCUACUAUUAUUCUGACAUUUCACAUUCUUAAAAUAAAGUAGUGAUCCUAACAGGCCUAAGACAGGGAAUGUUUUCUACAAUUAAAUGUCAGGAAUUGUGAAAAAAAAACUUUAAAUGAGUUUAAAUGUAUUUGGCUAAGGUGUAUGUCAACUGUAUAUGUUGAAAUUAAAAUUAACCAAGAUUAAUAAAUGCCGUAGAAGUAUUAUUAAUUGUAAGUUCAUGUUAACUUAUGAUGUUAACUAAUGUUAACAGAUGGAACCUUAUUGUAAAGUGUUACCGUUAUCUGUAUGACCCAGAGAGCUGCACCAAUCACACAGUCUACUGUAUGAGAGACACUCUCCCACUGAGACGCAGCAUAUUAGCCAGUGCUGAAACUGAUGAAGAGCUCUUAUGGAGAAAGAAUUAACUGGAGUAAAAUUGAAGAGUGUGUGUGAGUAGGUGUGCUUUUCUUGUGGGGGAAAAUAACUGUAAACAAAGAACUUGUCUGACUUCCUGACAUGGAAAACAGCAUCAUAACCAGUCAAAAUAAUGUUAUUAUAUAACAUCCAAAAGUUGUUUAUUGAAAGGGUAAAUGUUAGUAGAAGAGUUAGGUUUAGGAUUAGCAGAAGGUUUUGGAUUGUAUGGAGGAAGAUGCACUAUGUUCAUAAAAUAUUCCUCUGCCAAAAUGCAACAUAACGAAAAGUGUAAUCUGUAUAAUAAUGUCUCGACUUUGUCAACCAAUUACCUUUUUUAAAAAUUCAGCUGUACACUUUUUCACUAAAGCAUCACCUUCAGGAAAUAACACAUGAAAACCAGUGGCCCGAUAAAUAAGUGUUUCAUCUGUACAAAAUGGACAUCGAAAAGUGUGGAAUUUAUAAAGAAAAUAUACUGGAAAUAAAAAUGUGCUCAUCAUCCACAUACUUUUUACCGUAUGUACACUUUUUUAAUGGUGGGAAUAAAACUGCCAAGUAAUGAACUAAACAGAAUGAUUCAAAAGUAUACUUUUCAUUUAAAUGUCACCCUCAUGUAUUGAGUUAGCACUCGAAUCAGACCUAAUCAUCAUCCAGGCAUUAAAACAUAUUAAUUUUAUGUAACUGUUGGGCCUCAUGUAUUCAGAUUGAAGGCAAAGGCAGGCCUAACACAGUCAUAAAACCUAACUCAGCCCCCACAUACCAAGUCAUAAAUCUUACUGAUAAAAAUCGUGCCAAAAUCAAACAAAGGGAGUCCAAAACAGACUACAAAUCCCAUGAAGCCUUGCUCACUAAAGGAUAGAACUCUCAACUCCUAUUGGAUGAGGCACACAACAGAAUGUCCCUCAACCAUGACAUCAUCAGGAGUAGAAAUACCUCUGAAAUGCUUCCGGGAUUUGCUUCCAGCAACUUUGUUCGCCGUGUAUAGACGCAGCUCAUCGCUGCUCUCAGGUGCAGCUUCGUGGCACAAGGAAGUAACGUCCGACUUGAAACUGUGGCCAUACAAUCUCCAUCUCGCUGGACGAGUUGAGAUUACUCUGUGUUCAACCGAACACUCUAACGGAUCCGAAGGAGACUGCCGAGCGAUCCGCAUCUUCAUCUGUUUGCCUGCAGAAGUGAAGAGAUUAAAGAUUUCUCUUCCAUCUUCAAUCAAGUCGACAUUUCUGAUUUCUCCGCCAGCCCGCCAAGAAUCAGCAGCCGUACCGCCCGCCGACAGAGCGAGGAAACGGCCUCCCAUCAUCACCCGAGCCUCGAGGAACCGAGUCUGAGUUAAAGGACGGAUGAACCCACAUUCUGCAUCCUCAUGCGAUUCAAGUAAGAGGUUUACGUCCGGGCAGAGAUAGAAUAUUAUAGUGUGUUAUUCUUGUGUUUCAAGGUUUUUGCUUGUACAGUUUACGGACCACCAUGUCCGCUCAUUAUUAAUACUCAGGGUAUUAAUUAUCAUGAAUUUGAUUUGCUGUAUUGUGGUCCAACCAAAUUGGACUGUUGUGCAUUUUCGCCAUUGCGGGUGAGACCGGCAAACUGAGUUUAUCCAUUAAAGAAUCAAAGAACGCAGGACUGUUUACGAGCCGUCCACCGCGUCUCUGAGUGAUAAACUAACAGGUGCUUUCUCUCCCACGAUCGCGAAAUCGGCUUUGGGGCCGUCACUUAAUUCUCUCUCUCUCUCUCUCGUACUAACCACACACACACACACACACACACACACACUCGCUCUCACACACACACACACCCUCAUGUGUUAUAGGAUUAUUUUGAUUUCCAUAUCUAAUCAUAUCACUGUUUAGUUUGUAGUUGGAAGUCAGAAGUUUAUUGACUGCAUUGUAUUAAUUAUUAAUUGAUAUUACU